GAUGAACGCUAGCGGGAGGCUUAACACAUGCAAGUCGAGGGGCAGCACGGGUAGCAAUACUUGGUGGCGACCGGCAGACGGGUGAGUAACGCGUAUGUAACCUACCCCAUACAGAGGGAUAACUCGAAGAAAUUCGGACUAAUAUCUCAUAAGACCACACGAGGACAUCCGAGAGUGGUUAAAGUUCCGGCGGUAUGGGCUGGGCAUGCGUAACAUUAGCUAGUUGGUAAGGUAACGGCUUACCAAGGCUUCGAUGUUUAGGGGUCCUGAGAGGGUGGUCCCCCACACUGGUACUGAGACACGGACCAGACUCCUACGGGAGGCAGCAGUGAGGAAUAUUGGUCAAUGGGCGCAAGCCUGAACCAGCCAUCCCGCGUGCAGGAAGACGGCCCUAUGGGUUGUAAACUGCUUUUCCAGGGGGCGAAUAGCUCUUACGUGUAAGGGUAUGACUGUACCUUGGGAAUAAGCAUCGGCUAACUCCGUG
RNAcentral lists this ribosomal RNA (484 nucleotides) under uncultured bacterium. Its description in RNAcentral is "bacterial SSU rRNA". It matches the Rfam family "Bacterial small subunit ribosomal RNA", at positions 28 to 507 of the family's 1533-position model. RNAcentral also lists the same sequence under 1 other name. The record is from RNAcentral.